RNAcentral lists this transfer RNA (82 nucleotides) under Metarhizium rileyi. RNAcentral's name for it is "tRNA-Thr". It matches the Rfam family "tRNA". From Rfam's summary of the family: Transfer RNA (tRNA) molecules are approximately 80 nucleotides in length. Their secondary structure includes four short double-helical elements and three loops (D, anti-codon, and T loops). Lineage: Eukaryota; Fungi; Ascomycota; Sordariomycetes; Hypocreales; Clavicipitaceae. The record is from RNAcentral.
GCCAGCAUAGCUUAGUGGUAGAGCGUUGCACUUGUACUACCAUGACAUGCAAAGGUCGCUAGUUCAAUUCUGGCUGUUGGCA